Molecule: ribosomal RNA, 253 nt
Filed under: uncultured bacterium
Lineage: Bacteria
Description: partial 16S ribosomal RNA
Rfam family: Bacterial small subunit ribosomal RNA
Source: RNAcentral
UACGUAGGGUGCAAGCGUUGUCCGGAAUUAUUGGGCGUAAAGAGCUCGUAGGCGGUUUGUCGCGUCGAAUGUGAAAACCCGGGGCUCAACCCCGGGCCUGCAUUCGAUACGGGCAGACUAGAGUUCGGUAGGGGAGUCUGGGAUUCCUGGUGUAGCGGUGAAAUGCGCAGAUAUCAGGAGGAACACCGGUGGCGAAGGCGGGACUCUGGGCCGAUACUGACGCUGAGGAGCGAAAGCGUGGGGAGCGAACAGG